UACAUGAUUUUAAUUGCUCAAUCUAAACUUCAGUCCACUAGGGUUUAAACCACAUAAAAGCUUUGGACAUUCAACUCUUUGAUAUUCAAAACCUACAAUUUCUCUCUUGGACAAAAUGAACCGGACGGUUGUGGAAAUCCCUGAGCAACUAUCAUUGAACAGAUUAGGGAAUUGCAAAUGCAACAAUUCUCGAUCUCGACGUCCCCACAAUGCAAAAUUCUAAACAAUAUACAUCUGCUGGAACACUGAUUAAAAAACUCUCUAUUUAUGCUGGUAUACCAGGGAAAAAAGCCAAAUUGCAUCAACCUUUAAGAAGCUAAACAGUCAGGAGCAUUGUUUUGCUUAUAUGCCUGUUCCAUGUUUGGUCCUCUCAAGCUUAUGCUUGAUUGGAACCCAAUUCAGCUCAACAAUGCAGUUCCGAUCACACUCUACUUGUCCCCUCCUCCAAAC
RNAcentral lists this unclassified non-coding RNA (450 nucleotides) under Hevea brasiliensis (rubber tree). Lineage: Eukaryota; Viridiplantae; Streptophyta; Magnoliopsida; Malpighiales; Euphorbiaceae. The record is from RNAcentral.